CACACUAUCAUUAACUGAAUCCAUAGGUUAAUGAGGCGAACCGGGGGAACUGAAACAUCUAAGUACCCCGAGGAAAAGAAAUCAACCGAGAUUCCCCCAGUAGCGGCGAGCGAACGGGGAGCAGCCCAGAGCCUGAAUCAGUGUGUGUGUUAGUGGAAGCGUCUGGAAAGGCGCGCGAUACAGGGUGACAGCCCCGUACACAAAAAUGCACAUGCUGUGAGCUCGAUGAGUAGGGCGGGACACGUGGUAUCCUGUCUGAAUAUGGGGGGACCAUCCUCCAAGGCUAAAUACUCCUGACUGACCGAUAGUGAACCAGUACCGUGAGGGAAAGGCGAAAAGAACCCCGGCGAGGGGAGUGAAAAAGAACCUGAAACCGUGUACGUACAAGCAGUGGGAGCACGCUUAGGCGUGUGACUGCGUACCUUUUGUAUAAUGGGUCAGCGACUUAUAUUCUGUAGCAAGGUUAACCGAAUAGGGGAGCCGAAGGGAAACCGAGUCUUAACUGGGCGUUAAGUUGCAGGGUAUAGACCCGAAACCCGGUGAUCUAGCCAUGGGCAGGUUGAAGGUUGGGUAACACUAACUGGAGGACCGAACCGACUAAUGUUGAAAAAUUAGCGGAUGACUUGUGGCUGGGGGUGAAAGGCCAAUCAAACCGGGAGAUAGCUGGUUCUCCCCGAAAGCUAUUUAGGUAGCGCCUCGUGAAUUCAUCUCCGGGGGUAGAGCACUGUUUCGGCAAGGGGGUCAUCCCGACUUACCAACCCGAUGCAAACUGCGAAUACCGGAGAAUGUUAUCACGGGAGACACACGGCGGGUGCUAACGUCCGUCGUGAAGAGGGAAACAACCCAGACCGCCAGCUAAGGUCCCAAAGUCAUGGUUAAGUGGGAAACGAUGUGGGAAGGCCCAGACAGCCAGGAUGUUGGCUUAGAAGCAGCCAUCAUUUAAAGAAAGCGUAAUAGCUCACUGGUCGAGUCGGCCUGCGCGGAAGAUGUAACGGGGCUAAACCAUGCACCGAAGCUGCGGCAGCGACGCUUAUGCGUUGUUGGGUAGGGGAGCGUUCUGUAAGCCUGUGAAGGUGUGCUGUGAGGCAUGCUGGAGGUAUCAGAAGUGCGAAUGCUGACAUAAGUAACGAUAAAGCGGGUGAAAAGCCCGCUCGCCGGAAGACCAAGGGUUCCUGUCCAACGUUAAUCGGGGCAGGGUGAGUCGACCCCUAAGGCGAGGCCGAAAGGCGUAGUCGAUGGGAAACAGGUUAAUAUUCCUGUACUUGGUGUUACUGCGAAGGGGGGACGGAGAAGGCUAUGUUGGCCGGGCGACGGUUGUCCCGGUUUAAGCGUGUAGGCUGGUUUUCCAGGCAAAUCCGGAAAAUCAAGGCUGAGGCGUGAUGACGAGGCACUACGGUGCUGAAGCAACAAAUGCCCUGCUUCCAGGAAAAGCCUCUAAGCAUCAGGUAACAUCAAAUCGUACCCCAAACCGACACAGGUGGUCAGGUAGAGAAUACCAAGGCGCUUGAGAGAACUCGGGUGAAGGAACUAGGCAAAAUGGUGCCGUAACUUCGGGAGAAGGCACGCUGAUAUGUAGGUGAAGUCCCUCGCGGAUGGAGCUGAAAUCAGUCGAAGAUACCAGCUGGCUGCAACUGUUUAUUAAAAACACAGCACUGUGCAAACACGAAAGUGGACGUAUACGGUGUGACGCCUGCCCGGUGCCGGAAGGUUAAUUGAUGGGGUCAGCGCAAGCGAAGCUCUUGAUCGAAGCCCCGGUAAACGGCGGCCGUAACUAUAACGGUCCUAAGGUAGCGAAAUUCCUUGUCGGGUAAGUUCCGACCUGCACGAAUGGCGUAAUGAUGGCCAGGCUGUCUCCACCCGAGACUCAGUGAAAUUGAACUCGCUGUGAAGAUGCAGUGUACCCGCGGCAAGACGGAAAGACCCCGUGAACCUUUACUAUAGCUUGACACUGAACAUUGAGCCUUGAUGUGUAGGAUAGGUGGGAGGCUUAGAAGUGUGGACGCCAGUCUGCAUGGAGCCGACCUUGAAAUACCACCCUUUAAUGUUUGAUGUUCUAACGUUGACCCGUAAUCCGGGUUGCGGACAGUGUCUGGUGGGUAGUUUGACUGGGGCGGUCUCCUCCUAAAGAGUAACGGAGGAGCACGAAGGUUGGCUAAUCCUGGUCGGACAUCAGGAGGUUAGUGCAAUGGCAUAAGCCAGCUUGACUGCGAGCGUGACGGCGCGAGCAGGUGCGAAAGCAGGUCAUAGUGAUCCGGUGGUUCUGAAUGGAAGGGCCAUCGCUCAACGGAUAAAAGGUACUCCGGGGAUAACAGGCUGAUACCGCCCAAGAGUUCAUAUCGACGGCGGUGUUUGGCACCUCGAUGUCGGCUCAUCACAUCCUGGGGCUGAAGUAGGUCCCAAGGGUAUGGCUGUUCGCCAUUUAAAGUGGUACGCGAGCUGGGUUUAGAACGUCGUGAGACAGUUCGGUCCCUAUCUGCCGUGGGCGCUGGAGAACUGAGGGGGGCUGCUCCUAGUACGAGAGGACCGGAGUGGACGCAUCACUGGUGUUCGGGUUGUCAUGCCAAUGGCACUGCCCGGUAGCUAAAUGCGGAAGAGAUAAGUGCUGAAAGCAUCUAAGCACGAAACUUGCCCCGAGAUGAGUUCUCCCUGACUCCUUGAGAGUCCUGAAGGAACGUUGAAGACGACGACGUUGAUAGGCCGGGUGUGUAAGCGCAGCGAUGCGUUGAGCUAACCGGUACUAAUGAACCGUGAGGCUUAACCUU
Molecule: ribosomal RNA, 2762 nt
Filed under: Escherichia coli
Lineage: Bacteria; Pseudomonadati; Pseudomonadota; Gammaproteobacteria; Enterobacterales; Enterobacteriaceae
Description: partial 23S ribosomal RNA
Rfam family: Bacterial large subunit ribosomal RNA
Source: RNAcentral